AUACGGCGAAACUGCGAAUGGCUCAUUAUAUAAGUUAUCGUUUAUUUGAUAGCACCUUACUACUUGGAUAACCGUGGUAAUUCUAGAGCUAAUACAUGCUAAAAAUCCCGACUUCGGAAGGGAUGUAUUUAUUAGAUUAAAAACCAAUGCCCUCUGGGCUCUCUGGUGAUUCAUGAUAACUUCUCGAAUCGCAUGGCCUUGCGCCGGCGAUGGUUCAUUCAAAUUUCUUCCCUAUCAACUUUCGAUGUUUGGGUAGUGGCCAAACAUGGUUGCAACGGGUAACGGAGGGUUAGGGCUCGACCCCGGAGAAGGAGCCUGAGAAACGGCUACUACAUCCAAGGAAGGCAGCAGGCGCGCAAAUUACCCAAUCCCGACACGGGGAGGUAGUGACAAUAAAUACUGAUACAGGGCUCUUUUGGGUCUUGUAAUUGGAAUGAGUACAAUUUAAAUCCCUUAACGAGGAACAAUUGGAGGGCAAGUCUGGUGCCAGCAGCCGCGGUAAUUCCAGCUCCAAUAGCGUAUAUUAAAGUUGUUGUGGUUAAAAAGCUCGUAGUUGAACCUUGGGCCUGGCUGGCCGGUCCGCCUCACCGCGUGCACUGGUCCGGCCGGGCCUUUCCCUCUGUGGAACCCCAUGCCCUUCACUGGGUGUGGCGGGGAAACAGGACUUUUACUUUGAAAAAAUUAGAGUGCUCCAGGCAGGCCUAUGCUCGAAUACAUUAGCAUGGAAUAAUGAAAUAGGACGUGCGGUUCUAUUUUGUUGGUUUCUAGGACCGCCGUAAUGAUUAAUAGGGACAGUCGGGGGCAUCAGUAUUCAAUUGUCAGAGGUGAAAUUCUUGGAUUUAUUGAAGACUAACUACUGCGAAAGCAUUUGCCAAGGAUGUUUUCAUUAAUCAGGAACGAAAGUUAGGGGAUCGAAGACGAUCAGAUACCGUCGUAGUCUUAACCAUAAACUAUGCCGACUAGGGAUCGGACGAUGUUAUUUUUUGACUCGUUCGGCACCUUACGAGAAAUCAAAGU
This 1017-nucleotide ribosomal RNA is filed under the name Purpureocillium lilacinum. Its description in RNAcentral is "SSU rRNA". It matches the Rfam family "Eukaryotic small subunit ribosomal RNA", at positions 76 to 1104 of the family's 1831-position model. The record is from RNAcentral. Lineage: Eukaryota; Fungi; Ascomycota; Sordariomycetes; Hypocreales; Ophiocordycipitaceae.